RNAcentral lists this ribosomal RNA (472 nucleotides) under uncultured bacterium. RNAcentral's name for it is "bacterial SSU rRNA". It matches the Rfam family "Bacterial small subunit ribosomal RNA", at positions 355 to 825 of the family's 1533-position model. The record is from RNAcentral.
UGGGGAAUAUUGGACAAUGGGGGCAACCCUGAUCCAGCAAUGCCGCGUGUGUGAAGAAGGCCUGCGGGUUGUAAAGCACUUUUGGCAGGGAUGAAAAGCACUGGAUUAAUAACCCAGUGUGUUGACCUAACCUGCAGAAGAAGCACCGGCUAACUCUGUGCCAGCAGCCGCGGUAAUACAGGGGGUGCGAGCGUUAAUCGGAAUUACUGGGCGUAAAGGGCGCGUAGGCGGUCGAGUAAGUCGGAUGUGAAAUCCCCGGGCUUAACCUGGGAAUUGCAUUUGAGACUGCACGGCUAGAGUGUGUCAGAGGGGGGUAGAAUUCCACGUGUAGCAGUGAAAUGCGUAGAUAUGUGGAGGAAUACCGAUGGCGAAGGCAGCCCCCUGGGAUAACACUGACGCUCAUGCACGAAAGCGUGGGGAGCAAACAGGAUUAGAUACCCACGUAGUCCCUGAGCGGGCUGGCAAGGCGCAU